Long non-coding RNA from Cyprinus carpio carpio, 578 nucleotides. The record is from Ensembl. Lineage: Eukaryota; Metazoa; Chordata; Actinopteri; Cypriniformes; Cyprinidae.
AUCAGUUCUUGCAAAACAGUGACUGAAAGAAGAAUGGAGAGAAAGAAAAACAGAAAGAGGGAGAAAGAGGUGUCAAUUGCUAGCCGUCAACUCAUUUGAUGUCCUCCCCGCACAUCCAGAAGCGCUCACGUGUGAAAAGCCGCCGUAACUUUCACCGGGGACAUUUUUGACGAGCAGUGAGGAAAGAGUUUGACAGAUCCGGGCGACGUCAGGCCGUCUCUGGGCCAUUUGGCAUGCGGUGGGCGUCUGGCAUGCUGAAGACUGCCUGUCAAACGCCUAUGACUCCAUAGAGUGGUGCGGGGACCCUACGGAGCGGCAGAUGGGCCAUUAAGGGAUGGCUGGAUGUUUCCAUGGCCACUAAUCUCCCCCCAGCACAGUUACAUGCAAACGCACACCCAGACCAGCACAUUCCCGCAGUUGACUAGGUCAACUCAAAGUACCUAAUCACAAGCACAUGAAAUGUUCCCGGCUCAGGGAGAGACGUGUGGACCAGUGGAGGAAAGGUUAAUGCUAAGGGGUCAAGUGAUUUCACACCCGAGACGCCAACCGCCUCGACACUGAGCUCCGCCACAUCCCAC